Molecule: ribosomal RNA, 641 nt
Filed under: Microbacteriaceae bacterium Se1Pt_274
Lineage: Bacteria; Bacillati; Actinomycetota; Actinomycetes; Micrococcales; Microbacteriaceae
Description: bacterial SSU rRNA
Rfam family: Bacterial small subunit ribosomal RNA
Source: RNAcentral
AAGCCUGAUGCAGCAACGCCGCGUGAGGGACGAAGGCCUUAGGGUUGUAAACCUCUUUUAGUAGGGAAGAAGCGAAAGUGACGGUACCUGCAGAAAAAGCACCGGCUAACUACGUGCCAGCAGCCGCGGUAAUACGUAGGGUGCAAGCGUUGUCCGGAAUUAUUGGGCGUAAAGAGCUCGUAGGCGGUUUGUCGCGUCUGCUGUGAAAACUGGAGGCUCAACCUCCAGCCUGCAGUGGGUACGGGCAGACUAGAGUGCGGUAGGGGAGAUUGGAAUUCCUGGUGUAGCGGUGGAAUGCGCAGAUAUCAGGAGGAACACCGAUGGCGAAGGCAGAUCUCUGGGCCGUAACUGACGCUGAGGAGCGAAAGCAUGGGGAGCGAACAGGAUUAGAUACCCUGGUAGUCCAUGCCGUAAACGUUGGGAACUAGAUGUAGGGGCCAUUCCACGGUUUCUGUGUCGCAGCUAACGCAUUAAGUUCCCCGCCUGGGGAGUACGGCCGCAAGGCUAAAACUCAAAGGAAUUGACGGGGGCCCGCACAAGCGGCGGAGCAUGCGGAUUAAUUCGAUGCAACGCGAAGAACCUUACCAAGGCUUGACAUAUACCGGAAACGGCUAGAGAUAGUCGCCCCGCAAGGUCGGUAU